CAGGACGUGGCCGAGACAAACAGGCACCUCCCCUACACCGAGAUUACACCCAUGCAAGUUGGGUCGUCCUGA
RNAcentral lists this transfer RNA (72 nucleotides) under Xenodermichthys copei (bluntnose smooth-head). RNAcentral's name for it is "tRNA-Val". The record is from RNAcentral. Lineage: Eukaryota; Metazoa; Chordata; Actinopteri; Alepocephaliformes; Alepocephalidae.